RNAcentral lists this long non-coding RNA (2248 nucleotides) under Homo sapiens (human). RNAcentral's name for it is "HSALNT0128429". The record is from RNAcentral. Lineage: Eukaryota; Metazoa; Chordata; Mammalia; Primates; Hominidae.
AAAAGAAAUAGAUCAAUGAUAAGAAAAUUACCCCUUUUGUAAGGUGCUGAGUGGACUGAAAACAACUAUGAGUGCUUGGAACUGUGGUCAUGACAACCAGUAAAGUCAAUCUUAGUCAAUGAUACCAGUUUGAAGUGGUAUCACUACUGAGCUGAAAUAAAAUGCUAAACUUGAUGAAUUCCUUUUUUCCAUAUAUCAACAGUUAUUUAUUUAUAAUUCAUUGCUAUAGCUAUUGUGUUAUGUGGUUCCUCUCACAUCAUGGCUUUACAGAAGGUUCCAGACCAAACAAUUACAAGUGGGUCAAAAUUUUAUGUAAGUACCUGGAUUUUAUUAAAAAUGAUUUCACAAUUAAUACUCCCAAUUUAUAACCCUUAUUAGAAUCGGGAAGAUUUAAGCAAAGAUGUAAGGAAAUGGACAUUUUGAGUCCUUACUUUCCUUGUCAGUAUAAAGUUCAUUAAUAAUAAGCAACUGCAAUUGUGCUUGUAUUGAUACUUUUAUUUCCAAUUUAAAGAUUGUUUUACAUUUUUAUUUUUUUAGAGACAGUGUCUCGCUCUUUUGCCUAGGUAGGGUGCAGUGGUUUGAUCAUAGCUCACGACAGCCUCAAACUCCUGUCUCAGCCUCCUGAGUAGUCAUAGGUGCACACCACCAUUCCUGCUAAUUUUUAAAAUUUUUGUAGAGACAGGGUCUCGUUGUGUUGUCCAGGUUGGUCUCAAACUCCUGGCCUCAAGCAAUCUUCCUACUUCAACCUCCCAAAAUACUGAGACUACAGGCAUGAGCCCCUGCACUCAGCCCCAUUUAUUUUUUAAAUGAUGGUAAAUGCAUUUAUGGAUGAUUGCCAACUCAUCAAAAUAUGUUUUUUAGACACAGCAUGGUGAUAAAUUAUGACUUACUUUUUAAUUUUUUGCUAAUAAUAGGUGCAUUGUUUUAAGCAGUUUUUAAAUGGUUAAAGUUGACGAUAGGUACUAAGACUUAUAGCUAAUAUUUUUGUAAGCUUACUAUCUACUAUACACUGUUAAGCAUUUAAUUUUCAUUAUCUCAUUUAUAACUUAAACAAUCUUACAAUCUAGGUACCAUUAUUAUUCCCAUUCUACAUAUGAGAAAACAGAGCCUCACAGAAGCUAGUUCAGUUUAAUACUCUAAUGCAUAUUAGAGGGAAAGUAAUUAAUAGAUAUUAGAGUCAAGAUUGAAAUUCGUGCUUGCCUGACCACCAAAAUUGCAUUUAUCUACCAUUAUGCCAUCCUGCUUCCCAUGCAUGGAGAAAAACAAGUUAGAAAAAAUUACUCACAUAGAUUUAUUCUACUAUUUGUCUGUAUAUUCAUAAAUAUCACCAAUAGUUACAAGUCUGGCAGGGUAAGAUGUUUUGUGAAAAGAAGAGAGGCUUUGGAAUGAGGCUCACUGGGUUUUGAUCCUGUAAUCCUCAGCUUGUGUCCCAUUUACCCAUAUGAGGUAAAUCCUCCUAAUUUACCAGGUGCUGUAAAUUAUGAUACUUGCCCUCUGUAAUGCCCACUUACUUCUCCAUAAAAUAGAGGUGAUGUAACUUCCUUGAGGGUUUUUGUGUAAAAUAAAAUAAUGUAUGCACAGUAGCUAGCAAAAAUAGGCACAAAGUAAUUAUUUUUCCUUCUGUUUUUAUAUUUUUCUACUGUGCAUAACUUUCUGCGGAAAGGGUGAACUCAUGUCUUAGUCAUCCCUAAAUCCCUAAAUAUGAACAACUCAGGUCCAACCUUAAAUUUUGGCAUAGUUUUUUGAUAUUUAUCACAAGUUCAUUAAGCACCAUAGUAAAAUUAGGGUUUCAUUUUUUAAAAAAUCACAAAAAAUUGACCUGAAAAUACUUUCAAGUGGUAAAGCUCAGCCCAACUCAUCUGGAUGUUUAUUACAAUCAGUAACAAUUUCAGCAAAGGGAAUCUUGAGGGAAAGAAACUCAGUGCAAGGACCUAAGGGCAAACUGAUGUGCCAGACACAUAGGGGAGUGGAAGGUAGGAAGAGUCAAUGCAAUCCUCAAAGAACUGUUCAAAAUCAGCCCAGGGAAGAACACAUACCUCUCCCAUGCAUUUCUGAUGUUGAAGCAUCUCCUUGUCCUGUAUUGAUGUGUUACUUUCCUGGAUCUUGGAGUGGGAAGAAUAUCCUGAUAACUUUCAAUAUCCUAUGGGUGCCAGGUUUCCAGUGCUCACUUGGUUGUGUUGUGCUGUGCCCAAAGUGUUGCUUCUUCUAUGACCUGAAUCAAGUGUUCUGCAUUAUUCCAAUGUCAGAC